GCCUUUGUGGUGUAAUGGUCAGCACACUCAUAUUCAAGAAUGCUGGUAUUCGAGAGGUCCAAGGUUCGAGUCCCAGCAAGGGCA
RNAcentral lists this transfer RNA (84 nucleotides) under Stegodyphus mimosarum. It matches the Rfam family "tRNA". From Rfam's summary of the family: Transfer RNA (tRNA) molecules are approximately 80 nucleotides in length. The record is from Rfam by way of RNAcentral. Lineage: Eukaryota; Metazoa; Arthropoda; Arachnida; Araneae; Eresidae.